CAAAUUAAAGCUUGGAAGUAUUUUAUUUACAUUAAAAAGAUUAUUGAUAAAACAAUAUAAUUUGA
This 65-nucleotide transfer RNA is filed under the name Curculionidae sp. 2 AH-2016. Its description in RNAcentral is "tRNA-Val". The record is from RNAcentral. Lineage: Eukaryota; Metazoa; Arthropoda; Insecta; Coleoptera; Curculionidae.